CUUCACCGACCCGAGCCACAGCGGACGGUCCCGCUCGGCGCCGUAGGUGGCGAGCAGCGCCGUGGCCUC
This 69-nucleotide antisense RNA is filed under the name Actinophytocola xanthii. RNAcentral's name for it is "ASpks TB sRNA". It matches the Rfam family "ASpks TB sRNA". Lineage: Bacteria; Bacillati; Actinomycetota; Actinomycetes; Pseudonocardiales; Pseudonocardiaceae. The record is from Rfam by way of RNAcentral.